RNAcentral lists this microRNA (21 nucleotides) under Gallus gallus (chicken). RNAcentral's name for it is "gga-miR-1752". Lineage: Eukaryota; Metazoa; Chordata; Aves; Galliformes; Phasianidae. The record is from miRBase by way of RNAcentral.
UUCUGUUGGAGAGAAGAGACA